Molecule: transfer RNA, 88 nt
Filed under: Streptomyces sp. PVA_94-07
Lineage: Bacteria; Bacillati; Actinomycetota; Actinomycetes; Kitasatosporales; Streptomycetaceae
Source: RNAcentral
GGGACCAGGGCCUUGGAGACGACGUCCAGGCACUCCCAGGGGGCGAGCAUGUCGAGGAUGACCCGGUCGACCUCGGUGUCGGAGAGGU